GAUGAACGCUGGCGGCGUGCCUAAUACAUGCCAGUCGAGCGAACAGACGAGGAGCUUGCUCCUCUGACGUUAGCGGCGGACGGGUGAGUAACACGUGGAUAACCUACCUAUAAGACUGGGAUAACUUCGGGAAACCGGAGCUAAUACCGGAUAAUAUAUUGAACCGCAUGGUUCAAUAGUGAAAGACGGUUUUGCUGUCACUUAUAGAUGGAUCCGCGCCGCAGUAGCUAGUUGGUAAGGUAACGGCUUACCAAGGCGACGAUGCGUAGCCGACCUGAGAGGGUGAUCGGCCACACUGGAACUGAGACACGGUCCAGACUCCUACGGGAGGCAGCAGUAGGGAAUCUUCCGCAAUGGGCGAAAGCCUGACGGAGCAACGCCGCGUGAGUGAUGAAGGUCUUCGGAUCGUAAAACUCUGUUAUUAGGGAAGAACAAAUGUGUAAGUAACUAUGCACGUCUUGACGGUACCUAAUCAGAAAGCCACGGCUAACUACGUG
This 497-nucleotide ribosomal RNA is filed under the name uncultured bacterium. RNAcentral's name for it is "partial 16S ribosomal RNA". It matches the Rfam family "Bacterial small subunit ribosomal RNA", at positions 28 to 507 of the family's 1533-position model. The record is from RNAcentral.